RNAcentral lists this ribosomal RNA (373 nucleotides) under uncultured organism. RNAcentral's name for it is "bacterial SSU rRNA". It matches the Rfam family "Bacterial small subunit ribosomal RNA", at positions 526 to 896 of the family's 1533-position model. The record is from RNAcentral.
CGUAGGGGGGCUAGCGUUGUCCGGAAUCAUUGGGCGUAAAGCGCGCGUAGGCGGCCCGGUAAGUCCGCUGUAAAAGUCAAAGGCUCAACCUUUGAAUGUCAGUGGAUACUGCCGGGCUAGAGUCCGGAAGAGGCGAGUGGAAUUCCUGGUGUAGCGGUGGAAUGCGCAGAUAUCAGGAGGAACACCAACGGCGAAGGCAGCUCGCUGGGACGGUACUGACGCUGAGGCGCGAAAGCGUGGGGAGCGAACAGGAUUAGAUACCCUGGUAGUCCACGCCGUAAACGAUGGGCACUAGGUGUGGGAGGUGUCGACUCCUCCCGUGCCGGCGCUAACGCAUUAAGUGCCCCGCCUGGGGAGUACGGCCGCAAGGCUA